ACUAAAAUACCAUUAUACUAGGAAAGGAAAAGACAAUUUUUUAUAAAAAGGAGGGAAUUAUUGUUUUUUUGUAAUAAUGUUAGCAGAGUACACACAAGAAGAAAAGUAAUUGCACUAGAUUGUAAAGAGGGUGGACCUCUUUCUUAAUGUCCAGUGUCCUUUCCCUUAAGAUUUGGUUUAAUAGAU
This is a small nucleolar RNA of Eptesicus fuscus (big brown bat), 186 nucleotides long. RefSeq annotates it as small nucleolar RNA SNORA81. The record is from RefSeq and is a predicted model, not a curated record. The transcript has a single exon. NCBI's taxonomy places the organism in Eukaryota, Metazoa, Chordata, Mammalia, Chiroptera, Vespertilionidae.